GACAGAGGGUGCAACCGUUGUUCGGAAUUACUGGGCGUAAAGCGCGUGUAGGCGGCUCGGAAAGUCGGGUGUGAAAGCCCUGGGCUUAACCCAGGAAGUGCACUCGAAACUUCCGAGCUGGAGUCCUGGAGAGGAAGGCGGAAUUCUCGGUGUAGAGGUGAAAUUCGUAGAUAUCGAGAGGAACACCGGUGGCGAAGGCGGCCUUAUGGACAGUGACUGACGCUGAGACGCGAAAGCGUGGGGAGCAAACAGG
RNAcentral lists this ribosomal RNA (253 nucleotides) under uncultured bacterium. RNAcentral's name for it is "partial 16S ribosomal RNA". It matches the Rfam family "Bacterial small subunit ribosomal RNA", at positions 524 to 776 of the family's 1533-position model. The record is from RNAcentral.